Molecule: ribosomal RNA, 769 nt
Filed under: uncultured bacterium
Lineage: Bacteria
Description: bacterial SSU rRNA
Rfam family: Bacterial small subunit ribosomal RNA
Source: RNAcentral
AGAGUUUGAUCCUGGCUCAGGACGAACGCUGGCGGCGUGCUUAACACAUGCAAGUCGAACGGAAAGGCCCUUCGGGGUACUCGAGUGGCGAACGGGUGAGUAACACGUGGGUGAUCUGCCCUGCACUUUGGGAUAAGCCUGGGAAACUGGGUCUAAUACCGAAUAGGACCACGCGCUUCAUGGUGUGUGGUGGAAAGCUUUUGCGGUGUGGGAUGGGCCCGCGGCCUAUCAGCUUGUUGGUGGGGUAAUGGCCUACCAAGGCGACGACGGGUAGCCGGCCUGAGAGGGUGACCGGCCACACUGGGACUGAGAUACGGCCCAGACUCCUACGGGAGGCAGCAGUGGGGAAUAUUGCACAAUGGGCGCAAGCCUGAUGCAGCGACGCCGCGCGAGGGAUGACGGCCUUCGGGUUGUAAACCUCUUUCAAUAGGGACGAAGCGCAAGUGACGGUACCUAUAGAAGAAGCACCGGCCAACUACGUGCCAGCAGCCGCGGUAAUACGUAGGGUGCGAGCGUUGUCCGGAAUUACUGGGCGUAAAGAGCUCGUAGGUGGUUUGUCGCGUUGUUCGUGAAAACUCACAGCUUAACUGUGGGCGUGCGGGCGAUACGGGCAGACUAGAGUACUGCAGGGGAGACUGGAAUUCCUGGUGUAGCGGUGGAAUGCGCAGAUAUCAGGAGGAACACCGGUGGCGAAGGCGGGUCUCUGGGCAGUAACUGACGCUGAGGAGCGAAAGCGUGGGGAGCGAACAGGAUUAGAUACCCUGGUAGU